AGUGAGCGGGAUGAGCUCAAAUUUAAAAUCUGGCUGGUUUACUAGUCCGAAUUGUAGUUUAUAGAAGCGUUUUCGGUGGCAGCCUGGGUAUAAAUCCUUUGGAAUAGGGUAUCAUAGAGGGUGAGAAUCCCGUCUUUGACUCAGUGCAUGCUACUAUGUGAUACGUUUUCAAAGAGUCGAGUUGUUUGGGAAUGCAGCUCAAAAUGGGUGGUAAAUUUCAUCUAAGGCUAAAUAUUGGCGAGAGACCGAUAGCGAACAAGUACCGUGAGGGAAAGAUGAAAAGAACUUUGAAAAGAGAGUUAAACAGUGCGUGAAAUUGUUGAAAGGGAAACGUUUGACACCAGUCAUGCGGGUGGAAAAUCAGUCUUUUGCAAUGGGGAGUUGUGGGCGUUCAGACCGCAAGGCUGGCGUUUGCUUCAUCUUUGUUGUAAGUGAUGCACUUUUUCAUUUGCAGGUCAACAUCAGUUUGCUUCGCUGGACAAAACUCUAAGGGAAGGUGGCAGCUUAGGCUGUGUUAUAGCCCUGGAGCGAUACAGUGGGGUGGACUGAGGUUUCGCAGUGUGUGCUUUCGGGCAAGGCUGACGGGGUGCUAUGGGAUCGUUCGGCGUACAAUGCAUGCAUUUUGCGUCGUGUCUUUUUCAUACUCGCUCUAAUCAGCUCUUCCACGCUUAGGAUGUUGACUUAAUGGUUUUAAACGACCCGUCUUG
This 707-nucleotide ribosomal RNA is filed under the name Mortierella sp. FSU 10540. Its description in RNAcentral is "eukaryotic LSU rRNA". It matches the Rfam family "Eukaryotic large subunit ribosomal RNA", at positions 92 to 656 of the family's 3401-position model. The record is from RNAcentral. Lineage: Eukaryota; Fungi; Mortierellomycota; Mortierellomycetes; Mortierellales; Mortierellaceae.